Triticum aestivum (bread wheat) is the source of this 125-nucleotide non-coding RNA. NCBI's taxonomy places the organism in Eukaryota, Viridiplantae, Streptophyta, Magnoliopsida, Poales, Poaceae. The record is from Rfam.
AUAAUACUCCCUCCGUCCGGAAUUACUUGUCAUAGAAAUGGAUAAAAAUGGAUGUAUCUAAAACUAAAAUAAGUGUAGAUGCAUCCAUAUCUCUGACAAGUAUUCCCGGAUGAAGGGAGUAGUUC